UGUGUGUGUGUGUGUGUGUGCAUGCGCGCGCGCGCACACACACACACACACC
RNAcentral lists this microRNA precursor (52 nucleotides) under Podarcis lilfordi (Lilford's wall lizard). Lineage: Eukaryota; Metazoa; Chordata; Lepidosauria; Squamata; Lacertidae. The record is from RNAcentral.